RNAcentral lists this ribosomal RNA (375 nucleotides) under uncultured Acidobacteriota bacterium. RNAcentral's name for it is "bacterial SSU rRNA". It matches the Rfam family "Bacterial small subunit ribosomal RNA", at positions 1047 to 1420 of the family's 1533-position model. The record is from RNAcentral. Lineage: Bacteria; Pseudomonadati; Acidobacteriota.
GGCUGUCGUCAGCUCGUGUCGUGAGAUGUUGGGUUAAGUCCCGCAACGAGCGCAACCCUUGUUUGCUGUUGCCAUCAGGUAAUGCUGGGCACUCUGCAAAGACUGCCGGUGAUAAACCGGAGGAAGGUGGGGAUGACGUCAAGUCAGCAUGGCCUUUAUGUCUGGGGCUACACACGUGCUACAAUGGCCGAUACAAACCGUCGCGAGCCCGUAAGGGGGAGCUAAUCGGAGAAAGUCGGUCUCAGUUCGGAUUGUAGGCUGCAGAUGAGCCUGCAUGAAGUUGGAAUCGCUAGUAAUCGCGGAUCAGCACGCCGCGGUGAAUACGUUCCCGGGCCUUAUACUCACCGCCCGUCACAUCACGAAAGCCGGUUGUAC